RNAcentral lists this ribosomal RNA (480 nucleotides) under uncultured organism. RNAcentral's name for it is "partial 16S ribosomal RNA". It matches the Rfam family "Bacterial small subunit ribosomal RNA", at positions 330 to 801 of the family's 1533-position model. The record is from RNAcentral.
CGUACACUCCUACGGGAGGCAGCAGUGGGGAAUAUUGCACAAUGGGCGCAAGCCUGAUGCAGCCAUGCCGCGUGUAUGAAGAAGGCCUUCGGGUUGUAAAGUACUUUCAGCGGGGAGGAAGGCGAUAAGGUUAAUAACCUUGUCGAUUGACGUUACCCGCAGAAGAAGCACCGGCUAACUCCGUGCCAGCAGCCGCGGUAAUACGGAGGGUGCAAGCGUUAAUCGGAAUUACUGGGCGUAAAGCGCACGCAGGCGGUCUGUCAAGUCGGAUGUGAAAUCCCCGGGCUCAACCUGGGAACUGCAUUCGAAACUGGCAGGCUAGAGUCUUGUAGAGGGGGGUAGAAUUCCAGGUGUAGCGGUGAAAUGCGUAGAGAUCUGGAGGAAUACCGGUGGCGAAGGCGGCCCCCUGGACAAAGACUGACGCUCAGGUGCGAAAGCGUGGGGAGCAAACAGGAUUAGAUACCCGGGUAGUCCCAUGAU